RNAcentral lists this ribosomal RNA (495 nucleotides) under uncultured bacterium. RNAcentral describes it as "bacterial SSU rRNA". It matches the Rfam family "Bacterial small subunit ribosomal RNA", at positions 47 to 507 of the family's 1533-position model. The record is from RNAcentral.
CUUAACACAUGCAAGUCGAGGGGAAACGAUAUUGGAAGCUUGCUUCCGAUAGGCGUCGACCGGCGCACGGGUGAGUAACGCGUAUCCAACCUGCCCAUCACUUGGGAAUAACCUUGCGAAAGUAAGACUAAUACCGAAUGUGAUCGCUUUCUCGCAUGAGAGAGCGAUGAAAGAUGGCCUCUAUUUAUAAGCUAUCGCUAAAGGAUGGGCCUGCGUCUGAUUAGCUAGUUGGUGGGGUAACGGCCUACCAAGGCGACGAUCAGUAGCCGGUCUGAGAGGAUGAACGGCCACAUUGGAACUGAGACACGGUCCAGACUCCUACGGGAGGCAGCAGUGGGGAAUCUUCCGCAAUGGGCGAAAGCCUGACGGAGCAACGCCGCGUGAGUGAAGAAGGCCUUCGGGUCGUAAAGCUCUGUUGUCGGGGACGAAUGUAGUUACCAUCAACAACCGUAACUAAUGACGGUACCUGACGAGGAAGCCACGGCUAACUACGUG